Molecule: ribosomal RNA, 1172 nt
Filed under: uncultured Bacteroides sp.
Lineage: Bacteria; Pseudomonadati; Bacteroidota; Bacteroidia; Bacteroidales; Bacteroidaceae
Description: bacterial SSU rRNA
Rfam family: Bacterial small subunit ribosomal RNA
Source: RNAcentral
AGUUUGAUCCUGGCUCAGGAUGAACGCUAGCUACAGGCUUAACACAUGCAAGUCGAGGGGCAUCAGGAAGAAAGCUUGCUUUCUUUGCUGGCGACCGGCGCACGGGUGAGUAACACGUAUCCAACCUGCCCUUUACUCGGGGAUAGCCUUUCGAAAGAAAGAUUAAUACCCGAUGGGAUAAUGAUUCCGCAUGGUUUCAUUAUUAAAGGAUUCCGGUAAAGGAUGGGGAUGCGUUCCAUUAGGUUGUUGGUGAGGUAACGGCUCACCAAGCCUUCGAUGGAUAGGGGUUCUGAGAGGAAGGUCCCCCACAUUGGAACUGAGACACGGUCCAAACUCCUACGGGAGGCAGCAGUGAGGAAUAUUGGUCAAUGGGCGUGAGCCUGAACCAGCCAAGUAGCGUGAAGGAUGACUGCCCUAUGGGUUGUAAACUUCUUUUAUAUUAGAAUAAAGUGCAGUAUGUAUACUGUUUUGUAUGUAUAAUAUGAAUAAGGAUCGGCUAACUCCGUGCCAGCAGCCGCGGUAAUACGGAGGAUCCGAGCGUUAUCCGGAUUUAUUGGGUUUAAAGGGAGCGUAGGUGGACUGGUAAGUCAGUUGUGAAAGUUUGCGGCUCAACCGUAAAAUUGCAGUUGAUACUGUCAGUCUUGAGUACAGUAGAGGUGGGCGGAAUUCGUGGUGUAGCGGUGAAAUGCUUAGAUAUCACGAAGAACUCCGAUUGCGAAGGCAGCUCACUGGACUGCAACUGACACUGAUGCUCGAAAGUGUGGGUAUCAAACAGGAUUAGAUACCCUGGUAGUCCACACAGUAAACGAUGAAUACUCGCUGUUUGCGAUAUACAGUAAGCGGCCAAGCGAAAGCAUUAAGUAUUCCACCUGGGGAGUACGCCGGCAACGGUGAAACUCAAAGGAAUUGACGGGGGCCCGCACAAGCGGAGGAACAUGUGGUUUAAUUCGAUGAUACGCGAGGAACCUUACCCGGGCUUAAAUUGCAGUGGAAUGAUGUGGAAACAUGUCAGUGAGCAAUCACCGCUGUGAAGGUGCUGCAUGGUUGUCGUCAGCUCGUGCCGUGAGGUGUCGGCUUAAGUGCCAUAACGAGCGCAACCCUUAUCUUUAGUUACUAACAGGUCAUGCUGAGGACUCUGGAGAGACUGCCGUCGUAAGAUGUGAGGAAGGUGG